Molecule: transfer RNA, 72 nt
Filed under: Dendronephthya gigantea
Lineage: Eukaryota; Metazoa; Cnidaria; Anthozoa; Malacalcyonacea; Nephtheidae
Description: tRNA-Met
Rfam family: tRNA
About the family: Transfer RNA (tRNA) molecules are approximately 80 nucleotides in length. Their secondary structure includes four short double-helical elements and three loops (D, anti-codon, and T loops).
Source: RNAcentral
GCCUUGUUAGCGCAGUAGGUAGCGUGUUAGUCUCAUAAUCUAAGGUCCUGAGUUCGAUCCUCAGACAAGGCA